CGGGAUUUUCCGGUUGAUCCCGCCGGACCUGACUGCUAUCGGGUUGAUACUAAGCCAUGCGAGUCAUUGUAGUAAUACAAGGCAGACGGCUCAGUAACGCGUAGUCAACCUAAGCUAUGGACGGGGAUAACCUCGGGAAACUGAGAAUAAUACCCGAUAGAACAUUAUGCCUGGAACGGUUCAUGUUUCAAAUAAUUUAUUGCCGUAGGAUGGGACUGCGGCCUAUCAGUUUGUUGGUGAGGUAAUGGCCCACCAAGACUAUUACAGGUACGGGCUCUGAGAGGAGUAGCCCGGAGAUGGGUACUGAGACACGGACCCAGGCCCUAUGGGGCGCAGCAGGCGAGAAAACUUUGCAAUGUGCGAAAGCACGACAAGGUUAAUCCGAGUGGUUUCUGCUAAAGGAACCUUUUGCCAGUCCUAGAAACACUGGUGAAUAAGGGGUGGGCAAGUUCUGGUGUCAGCCGCCGCGGUAAAACCAGCACCUCAAGUGGUCAGGAUGAUUAUUGGGCCUAAAGCAUCCGUAGCCUGCUUUGUUAGUUUUCGGUUAAAUCUAUUCGCUCAACGAAUAGGCUGCCGGGAAUACUGCAAAGCUAGGGAGUGGGAGAGGUAGACGGUACUCGGUAGGAAGGGGUAAAAUCCUUUGAUCUAUUGAUGACCACCUGUGGCGAAGGCGGUCUACCAGAACACGUCCGACGGUGAGGGAUGAAAGCUGGGGGAGCAAACCGGAUUAGAUACCCGGGUAGUCCCAGCUGUAAACUAUGCAAACUCAGUGAUGCAUUGGCUUGAUGCCAAUGCAGUGCUGCAGGGAAGCCGUUAAGUUUGCCGCCUGGGAAGUACGUACGCAAGUAUGAAACUUAAAGGAAUUGGCGGGGGAGCACCACAAGGGGUGAAGCCUGCGGUUCAAUUGGAGUCAACGCCGGG
RNAcentral lists this ribosomal RNA (921 nucleotides) under uncultured archaeon. RNAcentral describes it as "bacterial SSU rRNA". It matches the Rfam family "Archaeal small subunit ribosomal RNA", at positions 1 to 922 of the family's 1478-position model. The record is from RNAcentral.